This 255-nucleotide ribosomal RNA is filed under the name uncultured bacterium. RNAcentral describes it as "partial 16S ribosomal RNA". It matches the Rfam family "Bacterial small subunit ribosomal RNA", at positions 524 to 776 of the family's 1533-position model. The record is from RNAcentral. RNAcentral also lists the same sequence under 1 other name.
UACAGAGGGUGCGAGCGUUGUUCGGAAUUACUGGGCGUAAAGCGCGCGCAGGCGGCCCUUUAAGUCUACCCGUGAAAUGCCGGAGCUCAACUCCGUGCACGCCGGGGGAUACUGGAGGGCUGGAGACAGGUAGAGGCAGGCGGAAUUCCGGGUGUAGCGGUGGAAUGCGUAGAGAUCCGGAAGAACACCAGAGGCGAAGGCGGCCUGCUGGGCCUUGUCUGACGCUGAGGCGCGAAAGCGUGGGGAGCGAACAGG